AGAACAAAGGACGGCUACUUCACUUGCCAAUUACCCGUUCGCAACAAUGUUGCAACGGGUAAUUGAGAACACACUUCACACAUGGGAGGUCUGAUUGUUCAGUAGUUUCAUUCGAACAAACUAAGGGAAUGAAACUACCUAACAUUCAGACGAAUCCAAUACAUAGACUUUGCCAUUUACACACGAAUGCAUGGAAAUACAUGAAUUGCUCAGGACAACACAGGGCCAUACACUACAGUGGGCUACCCGCACGUAUUUAUGCAGGUCUCCCACUUGGUGGACACUCCCCUAGGGGACAAAAUGGGAGACUGUAAUGACAGACAUGGGGACAUCUCAGACAUACAGAUGUAAACUUUUCCCACAAUGUAAUAUGGUUUCCUCCCCUCUGCCCUGGAGAUAAUUGAGAAGUAAUUCAAUUAUCUCCAGGACAAAGACAAAUCGCCAUCUUAAAUAAAAUACCAGAAAACACACAAAUAUAUAAUUCCACAACUACUGAACAUUUCACCUUCGUAUCACAUAUCCCCAGAUAGCCUGGAUCUGAGGGCAUAUUAUUAGCGAAUAGCGCUCAGAUCCCAUACGCAUAGUUCAAUCGCCAUUGAGUAAAAGUUCUUAGUCUUUUGGUAUGCGAUUGACUCCAUGGGAAGGCUAUCUGGGUUAAGUCUUUUCGUGUGAUUCCGAACGGCCAGUGUUCGCAUGCUUUCGUCGAUUGAGUAGGGCGACCUGUUGUUUCAGCAGUGUUGGGCAGAAAAAGUGUCCAUUUUUAGUUCCAUGAAAUCACUGCCAAACACCGCUGGUCUUUCGUGUGUUUUAAAAUGGCCGCUGCCUCAUGGUAGACAUGCGAACGACGGCCACCCUGAAUUAGAUUUUUAAGAGACGUGUCUGCGGUUAACCACAAUGUUCUAAUUGGGAUCAAGAGGUUAACCGGCAGCACACUUCUAUCCUGGGUGGCCAUCCGUUCGGUAGGUUUGUUCAGUAAAACAAAGUCAUUCGUAUGGCUGGGCUAUAGAACAGCCAUUUACACGAAAGGGGCAAAAUAGACAAAUCCACCACAAUAGACAUACAGAUGGUUCUGUCACAGCUGCGAUCCUGGACUUAAUGAAGCACAGUGGACAAAUACCAGCAGAUGACAUGGCUCCCCAAAUCAACACAGACUGUGGAAACUUCACACUGGACUUCAAGCAUCUUGCAGUGUGUGCCUCUCCAUUAUUCAUCCAGACUCUGGGUCCUUGGUUUCCAAAUGAGAUGCAAAAGUAGCUUUCAUCAGAAAAGAGGACUUUGGACCACUGAGCAACAGACCAGGUCUGUUUCUCUUUAACCCAGGUAAGCUGCUUCUGACGUUGUUUGUUAGGGAGCAGCUUGACAAGAGAAAUACGACAUCUGAAGCCAAUGUCCAGGAUCCGUCUGUGUGGUGGCUCUUGAUGCACUGACUCCAGACUCAAUCCACUCCUUGUGAAAGUCCCCAACACAUUUGAAUGGCCUUUUCCUGACACUCCUCUCCAGGCUGCGGUCAUCCCAUCUGCUUGUGCACCUUUUUCUUCCACACUUUUCAUUCCACAUAACUUUCUAUUGUGCCUUGAUACAGCACUUUGGAAACAUCAAACUUCCUUCACAAUUAUACUUCUCUUUGGUGAUUUGGGGUUUUCAUGAGCUGUAAGCCAUAAUCAUCGCACUUAUGACAAAUCACGGCUUGAACUAUCUUGCUUUGCAUG
Molecule: long non-coding RNA, 1709 nt
Filed under: Pelobates cultripes (western spadefoot toad)
Lineage: Eukaryota; Metazoa; Chordata; Amphibia; Anura; Pelobatidae
Source: RNAcentral